Papaver somniferum (opium poppy) is the source of this 68-nucleotide long non-coding RNA. RefSeq lists it as uncharacterized. The record is from RefSeq and is a predicted model, not a curated record. Lineage: Eukaryota; Viridiplantae; Streptophyta; Magnoliopsida; Ranunculales; Papaveraceae. The transcript has 2 exons.
AUAGAGCUUCAGUUUGCAACAAAUCAUCUAGGUCAUUUUCUUUUAACAAAUCUUUUGUUGGAGACCAU